GACGAACGCUGGCGGCGUGCUUAACACAUGCAAGUCGAACGGAAAGGCCCUGCUUUUGUGGGGUUCUCGAGUGGCGAACGGGUGAGUAACACGUGAGUAACCUGCCCUUGACUUUGGGAUAACUUCAGGAAACUGGGGCUAAUACCGGAUAGGAUCUCCUGCUGCAGGGUGGGCGUUGGAAAGUUUCGGCGGUUGGGGAUGGACUCGCGGCUUAUCAGCUUGUUGGUGGGGUAGUGGCUGACCAAGGCUUUGACGGAUAGCCGGCCUGAGAGGGUGGCCGGCCACAUUGGGACUGAGAUACGGCCCAGACUGCUACGGGAGGCAGCAGUGGGGAAUAUUGCACAAUGAGCGGAAGCCUGAUGCAGAAGCGCCGCGUGCGGGAUGACGGCCUUCGGGUUGUAAACCGCUUUCGCCUGUGACGAAGCGUGAGUGACGGUAAUGGGUAAAGAAGCACCGGCUAACUACGUG
RNAcentral lists this ribosomal RNA (468 nucleotides) under uncultured bacterium. RNAcentral describes it as "partial 16S ribosomal RNA". It matches the Rfam family "Bacterial small subunit ribosomal RNA", at positions 28 to 507 of the family's 1533-position model. The record is from RNAcentral.